AUUGAACGCUGGCGGCAUGCCUUACACAUGCAAGUCGAACGGCAGCACGGGUGCUUGCACCUGGUGGCGAGUGGCGAACGGGUGAGUAAUACAUCGGAACAUGUCCUGUAGUGGGGGAUAGCCCGGCGAAAGCCGGAUUAAUACCGCAUACGAUCCACGGAUGAAAGCGGGGGACCUUCGGGCCUCGCGCUAUAGGGUUGGCCGAUGGCUGAUUAGCUAGUUGGUGGGGUAAAGGCCUACCAAGGCGACGAUCAGUAGCUGGUCUGAGAGGACGACCAGCCACACUGGGACUGAGACACGGCCCAGACUCCUACGGGAGGCAGCAGUGGGGAAUUUUGGACAAUGGGCGAAAGCCUGAUCCAGCAAUGCCGCGUGUGUGAAGAAGGCCUUCGGGUUGUAAAGCACUUUUGUCCGGAAAGAAAUCCUUGGCUCUAAUACAGUCGGGGGAUGACGGUACCGGAAGAAUAAGCACCGUCUAACUACGUG
RNAcentral lists this ribosomal RNA (486 nucleotides) under uncultured bacterium. Its description in RNAcentral is "partial 16S ribosomal RNA". It matches the Rfam family "Bacterial small subunit ribosomal RNA", at positions 30 to 507 of the family's 1533-position model. The record is from RNAcentral.